This 254-nucleotide ribosomal RNA is filed under the name uncultured bacterium. RNAcentral describes it as "partial 16S ribosomal RNA". It matches the Rfam family "Bacterial small subunit ribosomal RNA", at positions 524 to 776 of the family's 1533-position model. The record is from RNAcentral.
UACGAAGGGGGGCUAGCGUUGUUCGGAAUUACUGGGCGUAAAGCGCGCGCAGGCGGUCUUCCAAGUCAGUGGUGAAAGCCUGGAGCUCAACUCCAGAACUGCCAUUGAAACUGUUAGACUUGAGUACGAGAGAGGUGAGUGGAAUUCCCAGUGUAGAGGUGAAAUUCGUAGAUAUUGGGAAGAACACCAGUGGCGAAGGCGGCUCACUGGCUCGUAACUGACGCUCAGGCGCGACAGCGUGGGGAUCAAACAGG